UACCAGGGCAAGCUUAUUUGUAGGGGGCUCUUCUAUUAGACCAAGUAGCAGAUCAUCAAGCAAAGGCAGAUUAAUUUGUGUUGGGGAAAUAACAGGCCUUUUAACUAGUGACUUGGCUUUCAAGAAGUAUGUUGUCAGCCAGAUCCGUAACUCAGUGAUUUGAAUGGGCCUAUUCAGAUUUACACCGGCUGAGGAGUUCGCUUGCAUAUCAAUUGAGCAUGAUGGUGGCUUCCAGCCUUGAUGCCAAACAGGCCGGACAGAGACAAUCUGCAGUCAGCCUAUAGACAGAGGGGAUGAAAUCUUAGUGAGUGCCAGCGAGCUGUCACGUCAAUUACCUAUAGCUUGCUCUGCAACAUGCCCACACAAAGAACUACAUGGAAGUAAUCGCUGUCUACACUCCGCUUCCCCAUCAGAGAAGGAGUAAUGCCACUGAAGUCAGUACAGCAGCUUGCAGAAUAAAGUACUACUCAGGUGCAUUCAGAUGCUGCCAAAAAUCACAGACAACACUGAACCAGCAGUGGUGGAUUAGAGCAGCUCUGUGUUGACAACAAAGAUUAAUGGUCAUUCACAUCAGCAAGAAAAACUCUUAAUACACUGCUAGUGUACCUUCUGAAAAUAUAGGAUUCAGUCUAUAUCUGUGAUGCAGUCCUUUCAGGAUAUCUAUCGAAGACUGGCAAGUGCUACUGCAGACUUUGUUCUUUCUUUGAGUGAAAUGUCCUGAAUAUGUCAUCCCUAUUUUGGAUUUCUGGUGCAUACAGUAUAUUGUUGUAUCAUGUAUUUCCAAACAAACAAGGAAAGUUAUGCAUAAAAUAAACUAGCCAUCACAGACAUAGAACAAAGCCAUUUAUUUUCAUGUUAGAAGGUCUCCGUAAAUGAUCCACAACGUUUAAGGAAAAUAAAAAGCAAAUAUUUUUAAAGGACUGUAUGUAAUGAGUGAUUGUUACUACAGUGUCUGCUUGAUGGUCAUGGCUGAGAAACUUAUGCAUGAAGACACUGCUUGUUAUUUCUGCUGCCAAUGCAUAGAAUUGGAGGCUGGAAGAUUCUGUAGGAAAAUAAAGUGGAUGGAUUGCAUUUGAAAUAGAGGCUCUAAACGACAGCAUGAAGAAAAGGAAAGAAAAAACAACAAGUAAGCUUACAGCGACAGUAGGAGAAACAUGAGUAAAAAGCAAAUUGAUGAUAUGCAGAAAAAAGAGUUAACAGAAAUAAUUUCCACUGCCCAGAAUACAUGAAUCUGUUACAUGGUUUGUUGCACGUUAAAAAAUACUGACAUUUUAGACAAAAAAAUGUUUUGAGCACAAUAAUAAACGUUACUUUUAAAAAAGAUCCCUUUUUGAAUUUUUUUCCAUCUCAGUUUACAUUUUUAGGGUGCAACACAAAUCAAGAAUAAACAUCUGGAAAUGUAAAGUUUAAACUGGCAAUCCCCACUCAGAAAAACAGACACCUUUAAUGCCAUUAGAAUGAAUGUUGUUACUUACUGUUAGUUAUAACCACCCCGGCAGUUGAAAUUGAAACACAUUUCCUUGCUAAACUAUUGUGUCUUCCAUCUUGUGCACACACUGUUUUGUUACUGUGGGGUUUUGUUCAUCCAGGGCGUGCUGGCAUUUUAAAACCUUUUGCAACGAAGCAUUUAUUUAUUUGUUUGCGUUUGCUUUUAAACCAAACACACUAAAGAUGAGGAUGAAGUGUUAACUUUCAAUUUCCCAUUUUGUAUUAGUUUGUGGCACACCUCAUUUAUGUUAUCUUAUUUCCUUCUUCUAUUAAAAUGAUCUUUCACAAAAGCUGUUAUAAAACACCCAUCAUUUAUCCAAGACUCAAAUUGAUUUCAGUCUAUCCAGUGAAAACACCUCCUCUCUCAGGUCCAAAUUGUGGCAACCUCUAUGGUUCAGCAAACCCCUCAAUUUCUCAACUACUACCUCAUUCACUCCUUUAUGGCCAAACCCAUCCCAUCAAAGGAAUUGAGAGUCUCACCACUGACUUCUAAGGCCUG
Molecule: long non-coding RNA, 1987 nt
Organism: Terrapene triunguis (Three-toed box turtle)
Lineage: Eukaryota; Metazoa; Chordata; Testudines; Emydidae
Exons: 5
Source: RefSeq, a predicted model, not a curated record